GUCCGUACCAGGUAGAGACCAGAUCCAAUGU
RNAcentral lists this non-coding RNA (31 nucleotides) under Mus musculus (house mouse). The record is from RNAcentral. Lineage: Eukaryota; Metazoa; Chordata; Mammalia; Rodentia; Muridae.